UUUUUGUAAAAAUUAAGAAAUAUUCACCAAAAAAAAAAAAAAAAAGUCAGGAGACUAUGAAGCCACUCAUUUUACUUCUAGAAGUUUUUCUUACAUAAAAUCAAUCAAGGAGAGAGAAUUGUGUAUUAAUUUAAUUGUUUGGCCUUUAGAAUCAUGUUCCUUACAGGGCAUCGGUGCGAGGGCUUCACCAUUCUGCACAUCCACCUGAGUUUUAAAACACGGUUUCUACUAUACAUCUGGCAUCUUGUAUACAGGGGAUGAAUGUGGUCAUGUUUCCUUCUUUAGCUGCUGGAAACCUUAGAGCAAAAAAUAAGGCCACUUUUGUAACUGUGUCUGACUCAGCAGCAUAACUUUUCCGUUGUCUUCCAUGUGCUAUCCUGUUUUAUUUUUCCUUUCCCUUGAUUGCUCUCUAUACAUACAUUUUUGAGAAGUUGUUUUUCUUUAUUUUUCAAACUAAUUCAUUCAAUACUCUCCUCCAGGUAGAGUUUAUAAUUGUUUGUAGUUGAGAAAAUUGGACUAGAAUGAAGCCUUGUGGAAUCCAAGGAGAAUUCGUUAUUCUUUAGCUGCUUUCAUCUCCAAUUGUGUUAGGCAUCCUCCUAAGAUGGUCCCCAAGAUGGCAGACCCCUGGAAUCAUCUGUAGAAUUUCCUCUCUUUUCACAGGCUUUUAUGAGUUGAUUUUUCAGCGAACCUUCAAGGGGCUAAGGGGAACAUUACCUUUGGCCACUAUACUGCCAACAACCUAUGAGCCUGGAAGAGGAUCCCAAGUCUCAGAUGAAACCAGGACCUCAGCCAACACCUUGAUUUCAGCCUCAUGAGAUC
This 819-nucleotide long non-coding RNA is filed under the name Pan troglodytes (chimpanzee). RNAcentral describes it as "lincRNA". Lineage: Eukaryota; Metazoa; Chordata; Mammalia; Primates; Hominidae. The record is from RNAcentral.